UGCAUAGGGUGUCACGGCGGUGCCCGGCAAUCGGGGUAAAAGGGAAGGCGGUGCGAAUCCGCCACGUGAGGCCGGCGCUGUGAGCGGGGAUGAAAUCCGAGUGAGGCCACUGUUUUCUUGCCCGAAGCGGGGGACGGCGCGAAAGUGAGGACGCCGAAGCCCACCGAGCGCGGCAGGGGAGCGGGAAGGUUCGGAGAGUAAGAGGAUCCGCGAGUCAGAAAACCUGCCGUCGUGAUGGUUUCAAG
Molecule: non-coding RNA, 245 nt
Filed under: Desulfacinum hydrothermale
Lineage: Bacteria; Pseudomonadati; Thermodesulfobacteriota; Syntrophobacteria; Syntrophobacterales; Syntrophobacteraceae
Also listed under: 1 other name
Source: RNAcentral